RNAcentral lists this transfer RNA (76 nucleotides) under Patescibacteria group bacterium. RNAcentral's name for it is "tRNA-Arg". It matches the Rfam family "tRNA". From Rfam's summary of the family: Transfer RNA (tRNA) molecules are approximately 80 nucleotides in length. Their secondary structure includes four short double-helical elements and three loops (D, anti-codon, and T loops). The record is from RNAcentral.
GAGCCCGUAGCUCAGAGGAUAGAGCAAUUCCCUUCUAAGGAAGAGGUCGCAGGUUCGAUUCCUGCCGGGCUCGCCA